UACGUCGACAACCCAGUCAUCGGCAACCCAGUCGUCGGAACCAUUCGCAGAUGACGUGCAAGACCACGCUGCACGGAUCGGAAACACAAACUGGUGCCGAUGCGGACUCUGCAUCAACAUGCCAACGUCCACGGAAUCCGUGUGCUGCUUCGAUUACCCGACAACCUGCGAAAUGAUCGAGGAACACGAACUCAAAUGCAUAACGGAACACGAGGAAUUCGCUACCGCGUGUCUAAAUGAGGUUGUGCUCCGUCUGGCGAACCGAGAUCUUCGGCAACGCGGAGUAAAGACGGGGAAAGCCAGGAACGAGCAGUACCGAUACACAUCCUACCGACAGUUUAUUCUGUGGGUGUGGGAGUACUUGGGAAAAUUC
This is a long non-coding RNA of Ornithodoros turicata, 373 nucleotides long. RefSeq lists it as uncharacterized. Lineage: Eukaryota; Metazoa; Arthropoda; Arachnida; Ixodida; Argasidae. The transcript is spliced from 3 exons. The record is from RefSeq and is a predicted model, not a curated record.